This 694-nucleotide ribosomal RNA is filed under the name uncultured bacterium. RNAcentral's name for it is "bacterial SSU rRNA". It matches the Rfam family "Bacterial small subunit ribosomal RNA", at positions 126 to 807 of the family's 1533-position model. The record is from RNAcentral.
CUGCCCAAGAGACUGGGAUAACACCUGGAAACAGAUGCUAAUACCGGAUAACAACACUAGACGCAUGUCUAGAGUUUGAAAGAUGGUUCUGCUAUCACUCUUGGAUGGACCUGCGGUGCAUUAGCUAGUUGGUAAGGUAACGGCUUACCAAGGCAAUGAUGCAUAGCCGAGUUGAGAGACUGAUCGGCCACAUUGGGACUGAGACACGGCCCAAACUCCUACGGGAGGCAGCAGUAGGGAAUCUUCCACAAUGGACGAAAGUCUGAUGGAGCAACGCCGCGUGAGUGAAGAAGGGUUUCGGCUCGUAAAGCUCUGUCGGUAGUGAAGAAAGAUAGAGGUAGUAACUGGCCUUUAUUUGACGGUAAUUACUUAAAAAGUCACGGCUAACUACGUGCCAGCAGCCGCGGUAAUACGUAGGUGGCAAGCGUUGUCCGGAUUUAUUGGGCGUAAAGCGAGUGCAGGCGGUUCAAUAAGUCUGAUGUGAAAGCCUUCGGCUCAACCGGAGAAUUGCAUCAGAAACUGUUGAACUUGAGUGCAGAAGAGGAGAGUGGAACUCCAUGUGUAGCGGUGGAAUGCGUAGAUAUAUGGAAGAACACCAGUGGCGAAGGCGGCUCUCUGGUCUGCAACUGACGCUGAGGCUCGAAAGCAUGGGUAGCGAACAGGAUUAGAUACCCUGGUAGUCCAUGCCGUAAAC